This is a long non-coding RNA of Catharus ustulatus (Swainson's thrush), 994 nucleotides long. RefSeq lists it as uncharacterized. The transcript has 2 exons. The record is from RefSeq and is a predicted model, not a curated record. Lineage: Eukaryota; Metazoa; Chordata; Aves; Passeriformes; Turdidae.
UCCUGCCCCGCUGUCAGAGCCGCCCGCCCGCGUGGCAGCGGGGCACGGCGGGCCGUGCGGCGUCUCCUUGUGCUGGCUGCCUUGCUACUGGGAACGACAGCUGCGUCUGUCCAUCCAUCCAUCCAUCCAUCCAUCCAUCCAUCCAUCCAUCCAUCCAUCCAUCCAUCCGUCCAUCCCUGCGUGGGCGCGGCUCGUGUGUGUGUGUGACUGACAGUGAGGCGCGCUCUGCGCGGGGGCAGCGCUCGCUCGCAGCCCGCCCCGGCUGCGGCAGCCACUUCUCCGUGCCCCGGAGCCCUCCCCGCUGGGGACAACCUCAGCGGCCUCGCUGCUCGUCCUCCUCCUCCCUCCUGGCGGGUAGGUUACAUUACCUGGUCUCUAGCUCGGACUGGAUCUAAUCCCGCGGCCGCCGCCGGCUCCUCUCCCGGCCGCGGGGGGCCUUCAUCUUCUGAAACGGGAACUGAAAUUUGGCCAGUCAGCAUCGAGUUACUGAUGAAAAUAUUGGUCACCUCAGCAUUUGCCGUCUUUUUGUCUCCUUAAGGAAAAAAAAAAAAAAAGUUUUGAGAAGUGUGUUGUACGUAUGAUGAACAUAUUUACGAAAGUGACCGCUAAAUUAUCCAGAAAUCCUGUCAUUGAGGCUAAAAUCCUGUUAAGAAAGAGAUAAACAUAAUCAUAUAAUUGCAUAAUUAGAGUCUUUACCAUAAUACCUAUUCUCAUCUAAAGUUUGCACGUUGUGUGCAAUACUUAAGUACUGUGAGGAAACCAGAGUAAUUAUAGUUGUUGACAUUGAGUUGUGAAAUGUGCAAAAGGAAAUGUUAAUCUUUUUUUUUUAAAAAAAAAAAAAAGACUGAUUGCAAGCACUUUGUUAGAGCUUUAUGAACAGGAUCAUUACAGGCAUGUCAGGAGCUGAGACUGUUUUUAUGUAGAGGAGAACUUGGGCUGUAGUUGGGAGUAUUCUAGUUUCCUGAGCUGAUAAUAAAGGAAGGAAAGACUUGAA